GAUUUUAGCGGCGGACGGGUGAGUAACGCGUGAGCAACCUUUCCUUCACAGGGGGAUAACGCACCGAAAGGUGCACUAAUACCGCAUGAGACCACAGAGUCACAUGACUUAGGGGUCAAAGGAGCAAUCCGGUGAAGGGUGGGCUCGCGUCUGAUUAGAUAGUUGGUGAGGUAACGGCCCACCAAGUCAACGAUCAGUAGCCGACCUGAGAGGGUGAUCGGCCACAUUGGGACUGAGACACGGCCCAAACUCCUACGGGAGGCAGCAGUGGGGAAUAUUGGGCAAUGGGCGAAAGCCUGACCCAGCAACGCCGCGUGGAGGAAGAAGGUUUUCGGAUCGUAAACUCCUGUCCUAAGAGACGAGGAAGAGACGGUAUCUUAGGAGGAAGCCCCGGCUAACUACGUGCCAGCGGCCGCGGUAAUACGUAGGGGGCAAGCGUUGUCCGGAAUGAUUGGGCGUAAAGGGCGCGUAGGCGGCCCGGUAAGUCUGGAGUGAAAGUCCUGGCUUUAAGUUGGGAAUUGCUUUGGAUACUGUCGGGCUUGAGUGCAGGAGAGGUUAGUGGAAUUCCCAGUGUAGCGGUGAAAUGCGUAGAGAUUGGGAGGAACACCAGUGGCGAAGGCGACUAACUGGACUGUAACUGACGCUGAGGCGCGAAAGUGUGGGGAGCAAACAGGAUUAGAUACCCUGGUAGUCCACACUGUAAACGAUGAAUGCUAGGUGUAGGGGGUAUCGACCCCUUCUG
Molecule: ribosomal RNA, 742 nt
Filed under: uncultured Bacillota bacterium
Lineage: Bacteria; Bacillati; Bacillota
Description: bacterial SSU rRNA
Rfam family: Bacterial small subunit ribosomal RNA
Source: RNAcentral